GAAGUGAACAACACAGAGAGGGCCCCUUACAGGAUCCGUGAUGAAGACUGAAGCCCACUGGAAAGGUGAAGAGUAUCUCUGCAAUAAAGGCACACCAGACCACCAUACUUGAACGUUCAUGUGGUUCAAGUUACUUUUAAUUUAGCACCUCCUUGCUAAAUUGCACUGCCCAGGAAAGAAUUAAAGCAUUUGCAUCUUGAAGCAAGAAUCUUUUAAAACAAUUCUUUUGAAAUCGACCUUGGGGUUUGAGAAAGUAAAUUAUAUCCACCAAUAUGCUGUUCUUCAGAAAAGUUUCAAACAUUUUUAGUGAAACCUACAUCUAGAAAACUGACAACACCAAAAAAUAAUGACCAUAAUAAGGGAUCGAAGUGCCA
This is a long non-coding RNA of Heterocephalus glaber (naked mole-rat), 374 nucleotides long. The record is from Ensembl. Lineage: Eukaryota; Metazoa; Chordata; Mammalia; Rodentia; Bathyergidae.